GCCUGGCUAGUUCAGUCGGCAAAACGUCAGACACUUAAUCCCAGGGUGCUGGGUUCGAGUUCCAUGUGUUGGGUU
This is a non-coding RNA of Podarcis lilfordi (Lilford's wall lizard), 75 nucleotides long. The record is from the annotation of a GenBank genome assembly. Lineage: Eukaryota; Metazoa; Chordata; Lepidosauria; Squamata; Lacertidae.